GGAGGUUUCCGCGCAGUGAUCCGUCUUCCUCCGUCGGGAUCUCUGCAGCCUUUGCUCCGCCGACACGUCGAUCGGGAUACUCUGCCUGGAAACACCGCAAACUAAUCGGAACCGGCGGCCGACGGAGACGGACGGGUCCCGCAGGCUACGUGGGUGUCGAUUAGAACUGUCCCAGCUGUUCGAGAGCUGGUGGCUCACGCAUCUGAGUCUGGACUGUCUGGAGCCGCUCGCUGAGGCUCUGAACAACACUAGUCAACUGACCAAUUGAGAAGGUGGGACUCUUUGAUGACUGAAGAUGGGAAAUGAUCAGAGCCAUGAGAGGAAGGCUGAGGAGACAGAAGAGGAAACCAAAAACCAGGAGGAGUCUGACCAAACCAAACACUCAGCUUCUGAAGAGACACCAGGAGAGCUGCCCCAGUGCAAGAUGGGAAACAGGAGGGUGGACAACAUGUGUUUCAUGAUCUCGUGCACUAACUGGUACUAAACUGGUCCUGGGAUUGGGUUGAUGAUGGAACAGAAGCAAACUGUGGACGACUUGUUCCCCUGCUGCUCUGAGGAGAACCUGGUGCAGAAAUGUUUCCUGCAGUGCCGAGACAAACGUCACUUUCCUCAAAUUCAAAAGAAAGACGAAGGCACGAGAAAGGAGUUCAAACAAUGGGUCACAAGAUUCAUGGACUGCGUGUGAGAGACAUGGAUUUCUUGUUAUGCCAAUAAAGACUGAGCAAAAGUAAAAAAAAAGUGUUACCCAUCAUGCUUUGUGGGUUAGGACAUCUGUGUUAAAUUGAUCAAAGUGAAGAGAGCUAAAUGCUUUCAUCGGAAAUUAAUUUUUUUACUGAUGUUAAUCGAACGCCGGGGAUGUCUCUUGGUAUUAUUUGGGAGUCAUUAAAGGCCAGUUUGAGGGGUCAAACCAUCUCUUACUGUGCAAAUAAAAAGAAGAAAAACAUGGAACGGCUAACACAACUGACAGAUGAGAUUUUACAGUUAGACAGAGAAUACAGCCGCUCUGGUUCACAAGACCUACUGAAGAAACGUCUGUUUCUCUAAACUGAAUUUAAUAUUUUGUCUACCCAGCAGGUGGAGUAUUUAAUAUCCAAAUCUAGGUAUGGUCACUACGAACAUGGUGAAAAGGCUGGGCGAUUACUUGCUCAACAGUUACGGCAGCGUUCAGCUGGUCAGUAUAUUUCUGCAAUAAAUGAUGACCAAGGUGUAAAACGCUGUGAUAAUGCUGGAAUUAAUUUAUGUUUCAGUAAAUUUUACCAAUCACUGUAUACAUCUGAGGCAUCAUUUAACCCAGCCGAGCUAGAGGAUUCUUUUUUUUAAGAAUGUUAAAAUCCCAUCAGUAAGUUCAGACCUGUUUAAUGAACUGGAGAAAGAUCUUUCUCUAGAGGAGAUAAACUCUGCAAUUAAAGAUAUGCAAAAUGGAAAGUCUUCAGGCCCGGAUGGCUUCCCGAUUGAAUUUUUAAAGAAAUUUUCUGAUCUGCUUUCUCCUCUAUUAUUAUCAGUUUUUGAAGAAUCAUUGAGCAUGCAAUCAUUACCACUGUCUAUGCGUCAAGCUGUAAUUUCUUUCCUAUUAAAGAGGGAGAAAGAUCCCUUAAACUGCAGUUCAUAUCGCCCGGUUUCACUAUUGAAUUCAGACUCAAAAAUCCUUAGUAAAGUGUUGGCGAAGCGACUUGAACAGGUUAUGCCCACAAUUGCUUCAUCUGACCAGACAGGAUUAGUUAAAUCCUGUCUUUAUCAGGUGGCUGUUUAAUGUGUUAUAUACUGCCACCCCGCCUGGCCAUAACUGUGAUGAGGUCAUACUUUCGUUAGAUGCUGAGAAAGUGUUUGGCCGGGUGGAGUGGAAUUGACUUUUUAAGACUUUAGAGACUUUUAAUUUUGGUCCUAAAUUUAUAUCAUGGGUGAAGUUGAUAUAUACUUUGCCAAUAGUGGCUGUACGCACUAAUUGCAAUUUAUCCAGCUAUUUUGAAUUGACGUGGUACGAGGCAGGGGUGCCCACUUUCCCCACUUUUAUUCGCACUUGCGAUUGAACCGCUUGCUGUAGCGUUGUGGCAAAGUCAGGUGAUUAAAGGUAUAAUUCGGUUCAGCACUGAACAUAAAGUUUCAUUAUAUGCUGACAAUGCGCUUGUGUAUAUUUCAGACUCUUCUUCUAGUCUUCCUGAGUUACUUAUUUUACUUCAAAAAUUUGGGAGAAUAUCUGGUUAUAAGAUUAAUCUUCAAAAAAGCGAGCUGAUGCCUGUGACAUCUAUAGAAGGGAAGCCUAUGGGCACUGUUCCUUUUAAAAUUAGUUCUAAAAAAUUUAAAUAUCUAGGUUUCUGGAUAACUUGAUCCUAUAAGGUCCUUUAUAAGGUGAAUUAUCUACCACUAUUGGUGAAUCUUAGGCAGGACAUUGCUAGGUGGGAAUCCCUACCUCUCUCCUUUGCAUUCAAUCAAAAUGACUAUACUGCCUAAAUUUCUUUAUCUAUUUCAGAGUUCCUUACUAAGUCUUUCUUUUCUAAUUUGGACAGCGAAUUAUCAGCAUUUGUUUGGAAUAAAAAGCAUCCACGGAUUGGGAGGAAGAUGCUGCAAUUACCUCAUAGUCUUGGAGGCAUGUCAUCCCCUAACUUCAUGUACUAUUAUUGGGCGGCUAACAUUAGAACCAUAUUAUAUUGGUUAAAAAAGGAAACUCCUGUUACAAGUUGGGUGGCCUUGGAAAGAGGCUCAAUUGUAUCUAGUUCUGUCUCUGCUUUACUCUGCUCCAAGUUACCUUUUAAUCAACCAGUCUCAACAUAUACUUCUAAUCCAGUGGUAAUUGACACAGUAAAAAUCUGGAAUCAGUGUAGAAGAUCAUUCAGAAGUACAGAGUUAUUAUUGGCAGCCCCUGUGUCAAAUACUCACGUUUAUUCCUUCAUUAACAGAUUCAGCUUUUAAUACCUGGGCUCUAAUAGGAAUACAUUUAUUAUAUGAUCUAUAUGUAGAUAAUAGGUUUGCUUCAUUUGAACAGUUGGUACAGAAAUUUGACAUUAAUAAAUCAUAGUUUUUCAGAUAUUUGCAAUUGAGACAUUUUGUAAUGUCCAACUCUGAGUGCUUUCCUCUACGCCCUUCUACCUCUGUUGUUGAAAAGAUUCUGGAGUGUAAGUCUGACACAAAACGAUCCAUGAGUACAGUUUAUACACUGCUUAAUUCAUACCAUGAUACCAAUUUGGAUUCUCUGAAAUACAGGUGGGAGAUGGAGGAAUCCAUAUCAGAUUCAGACUGGCAAAA
Molecule: long non-coding RNA, 3240 nt
Organism: Archocentrus centrarchus (flier cichlid)
Lineage: Eukaryota; Metazoa; Chordata; Actinopteri; Cichliformes; Cichlidae
Exons: 4
Source: RefSeq, a predicted model, not a curated record